Molecule: long non-coding RNA, 1013 nt
Filed under: Heterocephalus glaber (naked mole-rat)
Lineage: Eukaryota; Metazoa; Chordata; Mammalia; Rodentia; Bathyergidae
Description: lncRNA (ENSHGLG00000051024.1)
Source: RNAcentral
CCCGGGGACAGUGGGAGCCGCAGGGCUGGGAGAGACACGCAGAGUCUGUGAGGACAGAGAAGAGAAGGAAUGAGCGCCUUGCCGCCACAGCAGUCCCCGUUCUGUGAGAAAACGACAGGACAGAGGCCUCACGUCAGGCCUGGACGUGGCCGCAGGGCCCGGCACCCUGAGCGGGGGUUCCUGCCACACUCCCCGUCACCCCCACCCUGGCAGGCCUGGCGAUCCCGCGGAGCACACACUGUCCUCCGGGGAUUACACGGCGGGAAUGCACCUCGGGAGAAGUGCUACAAACGCAAGCCUUUCACUGUGGAACAACUUCCACGCGAGGAAGACACAGGCGUCGUGCUAAGAUGCAGACGUGCUUGAGAAAGGCCACCUUCGGAAGGACCUGACGGAGCUCCCAGGACUUGUUCAGCUACUCAAAUACCAAGCAUGGAAGUGGCCAGCCCACCACCAACUUAGUAUGUUUCCAAAGAGAACCUGUCUUGCCGAGGGAGAGAAGCCAGAGAGCAGAAUUCUUCUAGAGGGACUGUUCCAGCCACACGCCCAGCCUGGGAAGGGGCAAACAAGGCCACAAAGGUCACGGCCCAUCUCUCCACCCAGAGUCCUGCCUCCUCAGUGACAGCUCUGCCGACCAAGCAGAGACACACCCAGGAGCUCCAUCGGAAAAGACAGCAGCAACAAGAGGAGCCAGACAUGCAAGUUCCCAGACUCUCAUAACACAGGAUUUUCACAGGGAGGGGUGGUAUGAAAAGUAACAGGGGUGGGCGAAUUUAAAAGCUUUUGGGCUGGGAAGGUGCUGAAAAGCAAAGGUUGAGAAAUGCUGCAAACAGAAGAACUCUUUUUACUUUGGCUUAUCAUUUCCAGCUCUCAUCCACAAACAUGUUGAAAUUUCUGCAUUUGGGCGGGGGGUGUGUAGCUCAGCAGUAGCCCAUCCACUUACUAUAGGUGAGGCCCUGGGUUCAAUUCCCAUAGGACACAUUUUUAAAAAGUAAAUAAAAAUUAAAUUGUUG